UACAGAGGUCUCAAGCGUUGUUCGGAAUUACUGGGCGUAAAGGGUGCGCAGGCCGCGCGGGCAGUCAAAUGUGUAAUUCAGGGGCUCAACUCCUGCACUGCGAUUGAUACUUCCGCGCUCGAGCUUUGGAGAGGGGUCUGGAAUUCUCGGUGUAGCAGUGAAAUGCGUGGAUAUCGAGAAGAACACUUAGGGCGAAGGCAAGACUCUGGACAAAUGCUGACGCUCAGGCACGAAGGCUAGGGUAGCGAACGGG
This 253-nucleotide ribosomal RNA is filed under the name uncultured bacterium. RNAcentral's name for it is "partial 16S ribosomal RNA". It matches the Rfam family "Bacterial small subunit ribosomal RNA", at positions 524 to 776 of the family's 1533-position model. The record is from RNAcentral.